This 497-nucleotide ribosomal RNA is filed under the name uncultured bacterium. RNAcentral describes it as "partial 16S ribosomal RNA". It matches the Rfam family "Bacterial small subunit ribosomal RNA", at positions 28 to 507 of the family's 1533-position model. The record is from RNAcentral.
GAUGAACGCUGGCGGCGUGCCUAAUACAUGCAAGUCGAGCGAACGGACGAGAAGCUUGCUUCUCUGAUGUUAGCGGCGGACGGGUGAGUAACACGUGGAUAACCUACCUAUAAGACUGGGAUAACUACGGGAAACCGGAGCUAAUACCGGAUAAUAUUUUGAACCGCAUGGUUCAAAAGUGAAAGACGGUCUUGCUGUCACUUAUAGAUGGUUCCGGGCUGCAUUAGCUAGUUGGUAAGGUAACGGCUUACCAAGGCAACGAUGCGUAGCCGACCUGAGAGAGUGAUCGGCCACACUGGAACUGAGACACGGUCCAGACUCCUACGGGAGGCAGCAGUAGGGAAUCUUCCGCAGUGGGCGAAAGCCUGACGGAGCAACGCCGCGUGAGUGAUGAAGGUCUUCGGAUCGUAAAACUCUGUUAUUAGGGAAGAACAUAUGUGUAAGUAACUGUGCACAUCUUGACGGUACCUAAUCAGAAAGCCACGGCUAACUACGUG